UGUAGUAUAGACUGGCGAAGAAUGAAAUCUCAAGACCCAGUUUGGACUAACGGAGGCGAAGGCGACACUCUUAGACGUAUCUUAGGAUCAAGGACGAAGGCAGGAGUAUCGAAAGUGAUUAGACACCGCUGUAGUUCCUGCAGUAAACUAUGCCGACAGCCUGUGUGUGAGAAUACGUGGGCGGGAGAAUCUUAGUGUUCGGGCUCUGGGGAUAGUACGCUCGCAGGG
Molecule: ribosomal RNA, 228 nt
Filed under: Enterocytozoon bieneusi H348
Lineage: Eukaryota; Fungi; Microsporidia; Enterocytozoonidae
Description: 18S ribosomal RNA
Rfam family: Microsporidia small subunit ribosomal RNA
Source: RNAcentral